AUGUAUUGUUGCCUUAUGUGACCACCGCUUUGUUGGAAAAUUAAGAUAUGAUUGUAUUCCCUGAUGCUUGUUUGUUUGCUUAUGUGAUUAUGGUUGAUUUGGAAAAUGGAGACUAACAAAAAAUGGGAAAGUUGUGUGAAAAAAUGAAUAGAUGAAGACGGUAGCCUUACUGGAUAUCCUGGGAGACAGUGGACGGGCUGGGUAGAUAGAGAACCCUACCGUGAACGUUAUCUCAUAUUGGACGGGGUAUGGAGACAUGAUAAUUUGGCACUCAUACCGGACGGGGUAUGGGGACGGACUACUUCACCCUCAUAACGGACGAGCUAUUGAGGUUAAAUAAUUUGGUGCUUAUACCGGAUGGGGUAUGGGGACAGCACAUAAUUGAGAUUGUUAAAGGAAAGGGUUCGUGUGUAGCAGGGACAUCCCUAUAAACCCCAUGGAUACUAGUAGGCUGGUGAAAAAAUAACAGUUAUUGUUUGGUUUAUUGACGAUAU
RNAcentral lists this long non-coding RNA (494 nucleotides) under Carica papaya (papaya). RNAcentral's name for it is "long non-coding RNA (CPAP_LNC008612)". The record is from RNAcentral. Lineage: Eukaryota; Viridiplantae; Streptophyta; Magnoliopsida; Brassicales; Caricaceae.